RNAcentral lists this ribosomal RNA (4350 nucleotides) under Triticum aestivum (bread wheat). RNAcentral's name for it is "partial small subunit ribosomal RNA". The record is from RNAcentral. Lineage: Eukaryota; Viridiplantae; Streptophyta; Magnoliopsida; Poales; Poaceae.
AUGGAGGAUCCCGUCACGGCUUCGCUCGGCCCCAUGGGUCGCCUCCUUCGGCGACUCCAUUCGCUGGAGGCUUCCGACCACCCUCUGCCGAAGGGGUUCACUGCGAACGGGAUCCGGCUUCUGAGAGAGGGCCUAGAAGGAUUGUGCGACCACCUCAAGGGUUUGCCGGAGGCAGAUCUGGACAACCCUGGCUUCACGCCCAAAUGGUGGACCAAGGAGGUCCGGGAACUUGCUUACGACGCGGAGGACUUCUUCGACGAGGUUAUGCAGUCCGUUGCCGGCGGCGGCGGCGCCGGCAUCAGCAGAAGCGCUCCUCUUAGUACUACUACUAUAUUUGGGGUUACCAGUAAGCGGAAGCAGCGCCUGCCCCAGAUUGCACAAGAUUUCUCACAUUUAAUGGCUCGUGUGGAUGAUGCGAGAGGAAGAUGCAAAAAUUUCCAUCUUGCUCCGGAGACAGCCAUCAAAUCUGACCAUGGACAAGCCAGUACCAGCGGCCACACACCUGAACUGCCUCUCAACCUGCCGGUGUCGACCGUGUCAACCGCCGGCCAUAGCCUGGUUGGUGUCGAGGAACCCAUGAAGAAGCUUGUCAACUUGCUUGCUUUCAGUGACGACCAGCAGAAGCAGCUCAAGGUGAUACCCAUCUUUGGAUCUGCAGGAGUUGGAAAAACGACAGUUGCCAGAGCGAUAUAUCAUCAGUUUGGAGGAGAAUUCCAGUGCCGGGCUUUUGUACGGGUGUCCCGGAAUCCUGAUAUGAGGAGGCUUCUCACCAGCAUCCUCUCACAAAUUAAGGCGCCAGGGGCAGGGGCUCACACCUUUUCUGAUGUGCAGGACCUUAUUGACUGUAUCAUCAAACAUCUUCAUCAGAAAAGGUACUUCAUUGUUGUUGAUGAUUUAUGGACAGCAUCAGUCUGGGAUAUUAUUAGCCGUGCUUUACCUUAUGGUGAUUGUUGCAGCAGAAUACUGACAACCACACAGAUUGAGGAUGUAGCACUGGCAUGUUCUGGUUAUGAGUCAGAGUAUAUAUUUAACUUGGACCCUCUUAAUAGUGGCGAAUCUCGAAAAUUAUUCUUCGAUUCUGUUUUUGGCUCUGAAUGUGAAACUGGUUGUCCUGAGGAGUUCAAAGUAGUUGUGGAUAGGAUUAUCAGGAAAUGCGGUGGUUUACCGUUAUCAACUCUAAAUAUAGCAAGCCUGUUGCUACCAAGCAAACCAAACCCUGCAUUUCAGCAGUGGGAGAAGGUAGAAAGUUCUCUACCCUCCACUUUGAGGACAAAUCCUACUUCCAAUGGGAUGAAAGAUGUUAUAAUCCUUGUCUAUGAUAAGCUUCCACUUCAUUUGAAGACAUGCUUGCUCUAUGUUGGCAUGUAUCCAGAGGGCUACACAAUCAGUAAGGAUGAUUUGGAGAAGCAAUGGGUUGCUGAAAGUUUUGUCAGUGACGCUGAGCAUGGUUACUUUAACGAGCUUCUCAGAAGAGGUAUGAUCCAACCGGUGGACACUAACUAUCACGGCGAGGUGUUGUCAUGUACAGUUAACCACAUGGUACUGGAUCUUAUCAGGCACAAAUCCAUGGAGGAUAAUUUCAUCAUCACUGUGAACUAUCUUGAAUCAACUAUAGGGUUUCCUGACAAGGCUCGUCGAUUGUCCAUCCAAUUCGGAGGUGCAAAAAGUGCGAAGAUACCGGAAAGCAUCAUAAUGUCCCAAGUCCGAUCACUUUUCUUCUGUGGAUUCUCUGGAUGUGUACCUUCCAUUCCGGAUUAUGGCCUUCUUCGAGUUCUAAUUCUUCAUAUUUGGGCUGAUCAAGACAAGAUGAGCUUUGACCUCACUAGAAUCGGUGAACUAUGUCGACUGAGAUAUGUCCAGGUUGAAUGUAAUAUCACUGUCAAUUUGCCAGACAAGAUUCAAGGGUUACGAUACUUGGAGACACUGCAAAUAGAUGGAAGAAUAUCUGCUGUUCCAUCAGAUAUUGGAAAUUUGGAGAAAUUACGGCACCUCCGCCUUCCCAACCAAGUUAAUGUGAGGGACCUUGGCGGGCUGGUUAACCUCCAGGAUCUUCAUCUCACCUGUUCUACAGUACACCAAGUUGAUAAUCUGGAGGACAACAUGAAAUACCUGAGCACAGUUCUUGAGAAACUCAGCAACCUCAAAUCUCUAACUCUGACAUCUUUAUGCUCAUAUCCCGUAAAUACUUCGAGGAUGAGUAUUUCCUGCCAUGGCUUGAGCAGCGUGUCCCCUGCUCCAGCCCAUCUUGAGAGACUUGAGUUACUGCCGUGGAUUUGCAUCUUUCCCAGCCUCCCAAAGUGGUUGGAAACACUCAGCAAACUCUACAGUCUAAAGGUAGCAGUUAGAGAAUUCUCGAACAGUGACAUUGAUAUCGUGAAAGGAUUGCCUGCCCUCACCGCUCUCUCACUAUAUGUCCAGGCAGCACCGGCAGAGAGGAUUGUCUUUGGCAAGGCAGGAUUUUCAGCUCUCAAGUACUUCACGUUGAAGUGCAGUGAACCUUUGCUGAAAUUUGAGGCUGGUGCAAUGCCUAAUCUUCGGAAGCUCAAUCUAGUCUUCAAUGUCCAUGAAGUGCAGCAUGGUGCUGCACCUAUCUGCAUUGAGCACCUAGCAGGGCUUAAAGAGAUCUCCGCAAAAAUUGUGGGUGCAGGUGCUGCUGGCACAGAGUCUACCUUGGGGAUUUAUGUUAGGAAUGAUCCAAAAAACCCGAAAAUCAACGAUCAACUGGUGAACUGGAAGUUCUUUGCAGACGAAGAUAGAAUUAUGGCGCCACCGAGGCACGCAGGACCGGUUAUAGAAGAACUAGGUGAGAUCCUGGAGGAAAUCACAGAAUAUGAGUACGAAGGGGAAGAUGAAAACAGACAGCAACCUGAUAGCGGGAUUUCUACGUUACUGGAGUCGUCGCCCGUGCCACCUUGGAGACCCUCUGAUGGGCGAUAUGGCUGGAGAAUCCUCUCUGCGUGGGCCAGGGCCAGGCCCACCUUGAAAUCCGGACCCCGGACCACCUUGAAAGCUGCCUGUGAAGGCAGCAACAGCCUCCCCUGGUGGCACCAUCUUGCGCCAUCCAACACUGGAAUGUUCUCAAGGAGUCGUCGUAAACAUGAGAGUAGUCUUACUGCCAGCAGCAGUCCAACUUUUUUGGCUUCCAGGCUUACUGGCGGCAGCAGUCAAACUUUUUCAGCUUCCAAGCCUUCAAGCGUGAACACGUUUUCAAGUGCGAACACUUCUUCAAGUGCGAACACUGGGUGUGAAAUUGUGCAGUCAGCCAAAGUUAAGGCCUUCAGCUAUAAUGCUCUGAGGUUUGCCACAAGGAACUUCCCUCCUGACGGUGUGCUCGGUGAAGGAGGGUUUGGAUCUGUCUAUAAAGGAUGGCUUGAUGAGCGUACAUUGUCAGCUUGCCAACCUGGUACAGGAAUACCCGUUGCUGUGAAAAAACUCAACCCGGAGGGCUUUCAAGGGCACGGAGAGUGGUUGGCCGAAGUUAAUUACUUAGGUCGGCUUUGCCAUCCCAACCUUCUGAAGUUAAUCGGGUACUGCAUAGAGGAUGAGUAUCGGGUGCUAGUGUAUGAGUGGAUGCCACGUGGGAGCUUGGACAAUCAUCUUUUCAGGAGAGGCUUUGAACCUCUUUCGUGGAACAUAAGGAUGAAAGUUGCACUUGGAGCUGCAAAAGGGCUAGCCUACCUUCACAGUGCGGAGGUUAACGUUAUCUAUAGGGAUUUUAAGCCAUCUCAUAUUCUCCUUGACACCGAUUAUACUGCAAAACUCUCUGAUUUUGGAUUGGCAAAGGAUGGUCCUGUUGGUGAAGACAGUCAUGUGACCACAAGGGUAAUGGGAACAUAUGGUUAUGCAGCUCCAGAAUAUGUGUCAACAGGCCAUCUUACUGCAAAGUGCGACGUAUAUGGCUUCGGGGUUGUGCUUCUAGAGAUGUUGUGUGGUCGUCGCGCACUUGACACGAACCGUGCCCCGGCGGAGCUCAAUCUUGUUGGAUGGGCCCGACCGAAUCUCACAAGUAAGCGCGGGAUCUUUCGUGUCAUUGAUAAAAAGCUAGGAGGCCGAUACUCGAUCAAUGGGGCGCGGAAAAUCGCCAACCUUGCUGUCGCGUGCUUGCACGUUGAAGGUAAUAUGAGGCCGACCAUGGAUUACGUAGUCUCCAUUCUAGAAGGGGUUCAAGACUCCAGUGACCGACGCAAGAAAGCAGCAGCAAAGAAGCAUCAAGAGCCCAAGUCCGCCGGCAGAAUGACAGCGCCAAGCGCGGAUGCUGGCACGGCACGCGUACGUCGCCCUAAAAGCUCAGGAGACCUUGGAAACAAGGCCGCUAGUCAUAGCAACCAAGAGUCUGAACCUGUUAUCUAG